CCCCUAGAUGUUCUGGGCCGCACGCGCGCUACACUGAACAGUUCAACAAGUCUUAACCUUGGCCGAUAGGUCUGGGUAAUCUUUGAACGCUGUUCGUGAUUGGGAUAGACCUUUGCAAUUAUGGGUCUUCAACGAGGAAUUCCUAGUAAACGCAAGUCAUCAGCUUGCAUUGAUUACGUCCCUGCCCUUUGUACACACCGCCCGUCGCACCUACCGAUUGAAUGGUCCGGUGAACUCUCGGGACGGCGGCUUGGUCGCUUGCGUCCGACUGCUGAAACUUGAUUAAACCAUAUCAUUUAGAGGAAGGUGAAGUCGUANCA
Molecule: ribosomal RNA, 320 nt
Filed under: uncultured eukaryote
Lineage: Eukaryota
Description: partial 18S ribosomal RNA
Rfam family: Eukaryotic small subunit ribosomal RNA
Source: RNAcentral